GGAAUAUUGCGCAAUGGCCGAAAGGCUGACGCAGCGACGCCGCGUGUGGGAGGAAGCCCUUCGGGGUGUAUACCACUGUCAGAAGGGAAGAAACUCGGGCUCUCGAAUAGGGAGUACGAUUGACGGUACCGUCAGAGGAAGCGCCGGCUAACUCCGUGCCAGCAGCCGCGGUAAGACGGAGGGCGCAAGCGUUGUUCGGAAUUACUGAGCGUAAAGCGCGCGCAGGCGGUCUAUUAAGUCCCUUGUGAAAUUCCGGGGCUCAACCCCGGAGAUGCGUGGGAUACUGGUAGACUGGAGACCGGUAGAGGCUAGCGGAAUUCCUGGUGUAGCGGUGGAAUGCGUAGAUAUCAGGAGGAACACCGGUGGCGAAGGCGGCUAGCUGGGCCGGUUCUGACGCUCAUGUGCGAAAGCGUGGGGAGCA
RNAcentral lists this ribosomal RNA (421 nucleotides) under uncultured bacterium. RNAcentral's name for it is "bacterial SSU rRNA". It matches the Rfam family "Bacterial small subunit ribosomal RNA", at positions 358 to 770 of the family's 1533-position model. The record is from RNAcentral.